CAACUUUGCGCCGUGUUUUCCACUAAGCCUACCGACAGGCACUGUGCAGAUUCAAGCGGAGAGAAGUCCAAGCAGUGAGGCCGCUGCUGCACCGGCCAUCCUGAGCCCCUAGUCGGCCUUCCCGCCUCCGCUUCCCCGCCCCGCACUAGGACCCCUGCAGACGAUCAGGCGGCAGCUGGGGUGACUUCCUUCCUCUUUUGGCAACAUGGCGGGCGGAGAAGCUGGAGUGACUCUAGGGCAGCCGCAUCUUUCGCGUCAGGAUCUCACCACCUUGGAUGUUACCAAGUUGACGCCACUUUCACACGAAGUUAUCAGCAGGCAAGCCACAAUUAACAUAGGUACAAUUGGUCAUGUAGCUCAUGGGAAAUCCACAGUCGUCAAAGCUAUUUCUGGAGUUCAUACUGUCAGGUUCAAAAAUGAACUAGAAAGAAAUAUUACAAUCAAGCUUGGAUAUGCUAAUGCUAAGAUUUAUAAGCUUGAUGACCCAAGUUGCCCUCGGCCAGAAUGUUAUAGAUCUUGUGGGAGCAGUACACCUGAUGAGUUUCCUACAGACAUUCCAGGGACCAAAGGGAACUUCAAAUUAGUCAGACAUGUUUCCUUUGUUGACUGUCCUGGCCACGAUAUUUUGAUGGCUACUAUGCUGAACGGUGCAGCAGUGAUGGAUGCAGCUCUUCUGUUGAUAGCUGGUAAUGAAUCUUGCCCUCAGCCUCAGACAUCUGAACACCUGGCUGCUAUAGAGAUCAUGAAACUGAAGCAUAUUUUGAUUCUACAAAAUAAAAUUGAUUUGGUAAAAGAAAGUCAGGCUAAAGAACAAUACGAGCAGAUCCUUGCAUUUGUCCAAGGUACAGUAGCAGAGGGAGCUCCCAUUAUUCCAAUUUCGGCUCAGCUGAAAUACAAUAUUGAAGUUGUUUGUGAGUACAUAGUAAAGAAAAUUCCAGUACCCCCAAGAGACUUUACUUCAGAGCCCCGGCUUAUUGUUAUUAGAUCUUUUGAUGUCAACAAACCUGGCUGUGAAGUUGAUGACCUUAAGGGAGGUGUAGCUGGUGGUAGUAUCCUAAAAGGAGUAUUAAAGGUGGGCCAGGAGAUAGAAGUAAGACCUGGUAUUGUUUCCAAAGAUAGUGAAGGAAAACUCAUGUGUAAACCAAUCUUUUCCAAAAUUGUAUCACUUUUUGCGGAGCAUAAUGAUCUGCAAUAUGCUGCUCCAGGCGGUCUUAUUGGAGUUGGAACAAAAAUUGACCCCACUUUGUGCCGGGCUGACAGAAUGGUGGGGCAAGUACUUGGUGCAGUCGGAGCUUUACCUGAGAUAUUCACAGAAUUGGAAAUUUCCUAUUUCCUGCUUAGACGGCUUCUAGGUGUACGCACUGAAGGAGACAAGAAAGCAGCAAAGGUUCAAAAGCUGUCUAAGAAUGAAGUGCUCAUGGUGAACAUAGGAUCCCUGUCGACAGGAGGGAGAGUUAGUGCUGUCAAGGCCGAUUUGGGUAAAAUUGUUUUGACCAAUCCAGUGUGCACAGAGGUAGGAGAAAAAAUUGCCCUUAGCCGAAGAGUUGAAAAACACUGGCGGUAAGUUUGUUAGUCUUUGCCACUGUCUAAUUAAAAAAAGGCACAGUCUUGUACAGAAAAAAAAAGCACACACUCUUCCUUGAGGACAACAGUUACUGUGGCUUUCAGUCUCAACUAUUUAUUUGGAUGACUUUGAAAACUAUAAUUCGGCCGGGUGCGGUGGCUCACGCCUGUAAUCCCAGCACUUUGGGAGGCCAAGGCGGGUGGAUCAUGAGGUCAGGAGAUCAAGACCAUCCUGGCUAACACGGUGAAACCCUGUCUCUACUAAAAAAUACAAAAAAUUAGCCGGGCGUGGUGGCGGGCGCCUGUAGUCCCAGCUACUUGGGAGGCUGAGGCAGGAGAAUGGCGUGAACCUGGGAGUCGGAGCUUGCAGUGAGCCGAGAUGGUGCCACUGCACUCCAGCCUGGGCGACAGAGCGAGACUCCGUCUCAAAAAAAACUAUAACCUUGACUAUAGUCCGAUAUUUUAGUCCAAAUACUGUGAUUGGCUUCUCUUCCUGUUAGACACAACCUAUGCAAAACCGAAUGAAUUUGGGUUCGGUAUUUCUAUUGUCAUUGGCUUUGGAAAUCAUUUCACACUUAAUAGAAAAAUUGUAAGAAUUUUACAGAAAACUCCUGUAUAGCUUUUUCCUAGAUUGACAAACACACAUACAGAUUUAUUUACAUAUAUAAGUUUUUUUCUGAACCAUUUGAGGGUAGGCUAUAUAUGUUAUGCUUCUUGAUCUCUUGAUACUUCAGUGUAUAUUUCCCAUCAAAAAAGGAUAUUCUUAUAUAACCACUUAGAAAUUUAACAUUGGCAAAAUACUGAAAUCUACAGUGCAUGUUUCAGUUUUAUUGCUUGUCCCAAUAAUGUACUUUAUGUUCCUCCUGUUUAGAAUCUUGAAUUGCAUUGAAUUUCAUGUCUCUUUGAUCUUUAAUCUGGAGCUUUUUCAGCCUUUGUGUUAAUUGACAUUAACAGUUCUGAAGAAUACAAGCUAGUUACUUUAUAGAAUAUUCCUCAAUUUGGGUUUUUCUUAUCGUUCGGAAGCCUAACAUUAGAUUUAGGUUAUAUAUUCUUAACUUAAAUACACCGUGAAGUCUCCUUUUCAGGAAUGACAGCUAGAGGCACGUGAUAUCUGACUGCUCCUCUUUGUUAAGUUUAAUUGGUUGGGGUCAGAUAAGAAGAGGAGUGACAAUCAAGCCAACAGUAGAUGAUGACUGAAGAAUACCGGUUAAAUAAUACAUUCGGAUGGAUUUGGAAGUUGGAAUUCCUCUUAACAACCAAGGGGUUUAUUUUCAAAGCAAUAUUGGGGAAUUGAUUUCACAGUUCGUUACCUUAGUAGGUAACUGUAAGGUUAUUCUCUUUUUUUUUUUGGUUAUGAAAACUUAGGGACUACAAUUAAUAUAAAAAUUGGCAUAAUGUUGGAUUGAAUCUACAUUUUGGCAGAAGUUAAGCAUUCCCACAUAAUGUCAAAAUUAUACAUCAUGCAGUUUUGUUUUUUUGUUUGUUUUAUUUUGUUUUGUUUUUGAGUCUGGCUCUGUCACCCAGGCUGGAGUGCAGUGGCGUGAUCUGCAACCUCCGCCUCCCGGGUUCAAGCGAUUCUCCUGCCUCAGCCUCCCGAGUAGCUGAGAUUACAGGUGCGCGCCACCACACUUGGCUAAUUUUUGUAUUAUUAGUAGAGAUGGGGUUUCAGCAUGUUGGCUAGGCCGGUCUCUCCUGACCUCAGGGUGAUCAGCCCACCUCGGCCUCACAAAGUGCUGGGAUUACAGGCGUGAGCCACCUUGCCCAGCCCACAUCAUACAGUUUGAAAUGAAACUUUGCCACAACCAGCCUUUGCUGUAGCACACACAUAUAUCACUGAACCUGUUUGAAAUAAAGUUUUUUUUCUUUUUCAUGAUUCGUCUUUGAGUACCUCCAGGCUGAAAGACUGUUGUACCAGUAAAAACUUAAAAGGCACAAAUUCUCCUUGAAGACCUUCUCCCUUUUAUUUGGCCCCAUAUUUUAUGUUGCUUUAUCUUUGAAAUUUUGCAUGAAAAGGAAAUGAAUGUGUUAGAAUGAAGUUGUCCUUUAGAGCAUGAUUACUUAUUCCCAGGGACAAAUAUUUUUCUCCCCUUGCUCUUCCUGGCCUGAAACACGGGAAACCAUAGUCAGAAGUUAUCUCCCUCUCCCUGUGAUGCCUUGAGAUUUUUUUCUGCAUUGUUUUAUGCCUGAAAUCCAAUAGUCUUCCUCCACUGGAAAAUACUGUUAUACCAAAUAAUUCUAGAUGAGUAACAAAGAUCUUUCUAGGCCUUCAUUUUAUGUUUUUUCUUAACUGUUAUAUUAUGAUUGUGACAUAGAUUAUAAUACUACUAAUUUUUGGAUGUUUCAAAAGGUCAAGAAGUAAAAGAUGUUAGAAAGCAA
RNA transcript from Pongo pygmaeus (Bornean orangutan), 3939 nucleotides. It is a transcript of the gene named eukaryotic translation initiation factor 2 subunit gamma, with no coding region annotated. Lineage: Eukaryota; Metazoa; Chordata; Mammalia; Primates; Hominidae. The transcript is spliced from 12 exons. The record is from RefSeq and is a predicted model, not a curated record.